RNAcentral lists this long non-coding RNA (2806 nucleotides) under Homo sapiens (human). RNAcentral describes it as "HSALNT0335950". Lineage: Eukaryota; Metazoa; Chordata; Mammalia; Primates; Hominidae. The record is from RNAcentral.
CGCGCCCCCCGGCGGGCGGAGCCCGGCGCCGCGGCCAGGAUUUCCCACCUCGCUCCCGCGACUCCGCUGCGGGUCUGCACACCCGAGGACUCGGGGUACUUAACCGAAACUAGCAAUCCCAGGCGGUACAAGGCCCUCCAUCGUAGGCAAAGCACUACCUGAAUGUAGAUUUGGGCCAUACGUUGGAAAAUAAGACAUGAGAGUAUGCUCCGAUCAACUUUUACUGUUCACUGGACAACUAUUUUGGGAAUUUGCAGACCUAUAAAGCCCAUCUAUAAAUCUCAAGCAUGUCCACUUUCAGAGAAGAGAAAUGCUGACAACCAUUUAGUCUCUGAGGACAACACUUUUAAAGUGUAACAAUGUGGCAUCCAGAGCUUAUCCAGAUGAGCGGAGAGCAAAUGAAUUUCCUUCUGCUCCCCUGUUGAAGAGGAGAGAAAAAUUCUUCAAGCUUUAUACAGGACUCCAUCAUAGGACUGGAGAGAGAUUGGAUGUCAGAGUGAUUGAUGUGCUCCUACUGGAAGAAGGCAAACAUCCAUAUGUGAACUGCCUGUGGGGUUUCCAAGGAAAGGAACGGCAGGCAGCCUCUAUGAGCUUAAAGAAGAUAACUGGGACUUUAGUCCUAUAACCUCAAGGAACAGUAUUCUGUGAACCAUCUGAGAAGCUUGGAAGAGGACCCCAAACUCCAAAUAAGAAGCUCAGUGUGUCUGACACCUUGACUGCAGGCUUGGGAGGUCCUGAGCAGAAGAUCCAGUUCAACAGUGCCUGGACUCCUGAUCCACAAAAACUGAUAACAAAUAUUUAUUGUUUUAAGAUGCUAAGUUUGUAGUCAUUUUUUAUACAGCAACAGAAAACUAAACACACACAUAAACAGUUAUAAGUGCUCACUGUAUAUGAGGCUUUUCAUUAAUAAUCUAUAUUUUAUAAUAGAAUUAGAAUAUAGAUCUGUGAAGCUGAAGACACUCAAUCCUUGCUAGAUUUAAAUCAGGAAAAUCAGCUGAGAAUCAUUCCUUGAUAGAACCUGGAAAACAAGACCCUAUGAGAGACCCUGGGAAUUACAUUAAAUUCACUGUGGUUCCCAGUGUCACUGAAGAGGUUUUCCUUUCAUAGUCAGGUAGUCACCAUACUGUUAAGCAUUUGAACACAUGGGCAACUUCCAGAAUAGUUAUGACAUUGAUAUACCAAUCUCCAAAAUUCCUAGAAUACCAUGUUUUCAUGGUUGACCUUCAAAUCAGUCAGUUCUUUGUAACAUUGAGCCAUAAAGAUAGGGCAAAUACUUAAUGUUUUACAUAUAUUCAGAGAUUGACCCUCAAAAUACAGCCCAGAGAAACUCAAAAGAAUUAACUCUAUUUCUUCAAAUUGUGUGACGCCACCAAGGCCAGAUGACUUCAGCAUUGGGAAGGCAAUAUCCAGCUGUCAUCUUCUUGAUCCUCAUAUGCUACUACUAGCAUCUAGCAUUUACUGAGCAGAUAGUUUUAUUGUCCAGUUUUUAAAGAUAAGAAAAUUGAGGUAUUAGGAAAGUUAAGUUGGUUGCCUAGGGAAACACGAAGAUAUAGCCCAGAUUCACUCCCAGGCAGGCAGAUGCCAGUGUCUGCUCUCUUUACCACCGAAAUAUCCUGCUACAUGUACAAUUUCAAUAAAUAUCUGGACUUACUGGAACAAAACAAAUCAACAACAUUCUUAUUUUCUUUCUUCAGUUUAGAUUAAAUAAUUUAAAUGUCUUCUUAAGAAGCUACAGUUUUUUGAGGCACAGAGGGAUAGGAGGGUAGGUCCUACCAGUUGAGUCACUCAGCCCUAUAGUUGUGAAAAUCCUUAAUUUUAAGAAGCAGCAGUAAAGUCUCUACUUCUCAAGCUUGCCAUUAGAUGGUUUUAAAUAAUUGACAGGCUCUGCUCAAGUUCUUCUGAUUUCUCCAUAUCCUGGAAAUGGUUAAAGGCAUAAGCAGGAAGCCAUUCCCUUUUGAUGAGCUGCUAUGACAUCAUGCAGUAAGUUUACUGAAGAGAGAUUCCUGAUGAAAGAUGCAAGAGAAACUAGAUACAUUAAGCAGUCGUUUCUUUAUAUGAAUCAAUGGGACACCUUUGCUUUCCUUUACUCUAAGUGACCUAUAUGCAGAAAAUGAACUCACUUUUCCUAUGUUUAGAUCAAGUUUUCAAGUUACUUCCUGGCAAACAACCCUAACAAGAUCAUGUAUGAUAGUUAAUUGGCCAUAAUCUCUGCCUUUUCUUUUUUUCUGGCUAAAUAACCAGGUGGACCACACAUUUGGGUCAGGGGAGUCACAUUAGGACUCUUUUAGUAGAGAGAAUGCCAGAUGUAGAUAUCACGCUUAUUGUCUCAACAACAUGACACUUAAUAGCACUUCUACGCCACUUUAAUCAACUAGAGUCAAUUCCACUGUAACACAACAACAUAUGUGAUCCUAAACAGUCACUGCACUAUACUAAACUGUGCAAUAACAACCACAGGGCUCACAAGAAAAUGGGGUUAGUGAUAUAACACUUAAAAUCUUCAUCAGUGGCACAUUCUUUAAAAGAUAGGAAUUUAAUAAAAACAAUAGCACAGUUACAUCUAUCUAUCUUAAAUGGUUAAAAAUACACAAAUAUGGCACUUGAUAUUAAAAAAAGGCCAAAAACUUGCUAGGGAGGUGGAAUGGGAAUGGUUGCCAUUUGUGAGUUAUGGUGAAGCGGUGGAAGAAGGAAUAAAAACUGUGCUCUUUCUCAGCCCUUAAAUCCUAGAAUGAGCAUGUUUUUAUAUAGGAAAGUUCACAAGUGUGAAAGGAUAGCAAACUGUAAAUUUUCAAAAUAAUACAUGGCA